Molecule: ribosomal RNA, 895 nt
Filed under: uncultured bacterium
Lineage: Bacteria
Description: bacterial SSU rRNA
Rfam family: Bacterial small subunit ribosomal RNA
Source: RNAcentral
GAACGAACGCUGGCGGCGUGCUUAAUACAUGCAAGUCGAACGAGAAAGCCCGGCUUCGGUUGGGUGAGUAAAGUGGCGAACGGGUGAGUAACGCGUGGAUAAUCUGCCUAUACGUCUGGGAUACUCUUUCGAAAGAAAGCUUAAUACCGGAUAACAUUGUCGGGCGACAUCUCCUGACACUCAAAGACGGGGUAACCUGUCGCGAAUAGAUGAGUCCGCGUUUCAUUAGCUUGUUGGCGGGGUAACGGCCCACCAAGGCUACGAUGAAUAGCCGGCCUGAGAGGGUGAUCGGCCACACUGGGACUGAGAUACGGCCCAGACUCCUACGGGAGGCAGCAGUAGGGAAUAUUGCGCAAUGGACGAAAGUCUGACGCAGCAACGCCGCGUGGGUGAUGAAGGUCUUCGGAUUGUAAAACCCUGUCGGUGGGGAAGAACCGUGCAAGCGUAACUGCCUUGCACCUGACGGUACCCACAGAGGAAGUCCCGGCUAACUCCGUGCCAGCAGCCGCGGUAAUACGGAGGGGACAAGCGUUGUUCGGAUUUACUGGGCGUAAAGGGCGCGUAGGCGGGCCUUCAAGUCGGCUGUGAAAUCUCUGGGCUUAACCCAGAGUCUGCACUCGAUACUGUAGGUCUUGAGUACCGGAGAGGAUGAUAGAAUUCCAGGUGUAGCGGUGAAAUGCGUAGAUAUCUGGAAGAAUACCAGUAGCGAAGGCGGUCAUCUGGACGGAUACUGACGCUAAAGCGCGAAGGCUUGGGGAGCAAACAGGAUUAGAUACCCUGGUAGUCCAAGCGGUAAACUAUGGGCACUAGGUGUCGGAGGUAUCGACCCCUCCGGUGCCGCAGCUAACGCAUUAAGUGCCCCGCCUGGGGAGUACGAUCGCAAGAUUGAAACUCA